GUCUCAAUGAGUUAUUGUUAUGAAAGACAAGAAUGAACUAGUGCUACAGCUUAUGCUGCACCUUGCAUAUAAGGCUGAUUCAGGGAGUUGGGUUGCAAGGACAAGGUCUAUGCAUACUCACUCAAAAAGUCAUCAGCAAAUCCAUAACCUAAAUCAACCUGUCCUCUAAUCCUAACUUAAUUUCAAUACGAUAUAAAAUUAUUAAUCUAACAUGCUAGAUCAAAUAGGUCGCCACAGAUACAAGUAUUCAAGAAAAACAAAAUUAAGCAGAACAAGUUUUCA
Molecule: unclassified non-coding RNA, 282 nt
Filed under: Hevea brasiliensis (rubber tree)
Lineage: Eukaryota; Viridiplantae; Streptophyta; Magnoliopsida; Malpighiales; Euphorbiaceae
Source: RNAcentral